Molecule: ribosomal RNA, 253 nt
Filed under: uncultured bacterium
Lineage: Bacteria
Description: partial 16S ribosomal RNA
Rfam family: Bacterial small subunit ribosomal RNA
Source: RNAcentral
UACGCAGGGGGCGAGCGUUGUUCGGAUUUACUGGGCGUAAAGGGCGCGCAGGCGGUCUUGAAAGUCAGGCGUGAAAGCCCCGGGCUUAACCUGGGAAUUGCGCUUGAUACUCUGAGACUGGAGUACGGGAGAGGAGAGUGGAAUUCCCAGUGUAGAGGUGAAAUUCGUAGAUAUUGGGAAGAACACCAGUGGCGAAGGCGGCUCUCUGGACCGUAACUGACGCUGAGGAGCGAAAGCGUGGGGAGCGAACAGG